CUACGGGACGCUCCAGUGGGGAAUAUUGCACAAUGGGCGCAAGCCUGAUGCAGCCAUGCCGCGUGUAUGAAGAAGGCCUUCGGGUUGUCAAGUACUUUCAGCGGGGAGGAAGGGAGUAAAGUUAAUACCUUUGCUCAUUGACGUUACCCGCAGAAGAAGCACCGGCUAACUCCGUGCCAGCAGCCGCGGUAAUACGGAGGGUGCAAGCGUUAAUCGGAAUUACUGGGCGUAAAGCGCACGCAGGCGGUUUGUUAAGUCAGACGUGAAAUCCCCGGGCUCAACCUGGGAACUGCAUCUGAUACUGGCAAGCUUGAGUCUCGUAGAGGGGGGUAGAAUUCCAGGUGUAGCGGUGAAAUGCGUAGAGAUCUGGAGGAAUACCGGUGGCGAAGGCGGCCCCCUGGACGAAGACUGACGCUCAGGUGCGAAAGCGUGGGGAGCAAACAGGAUUAGAUACCCGCGUAGUC
Molecule: ribosomal RNA, 464 nt
Filed under: uncultured bacterium
Lineage: Bacteria
Description: partial 16S ribosomal RNA
Rfam family: Bacterial small subunit ribosomal RNA
Source: RNAcentral